UAAAAAUACAUUAUUUUUCAGUCUUCCCAAUAUUUUCAAAGUUACACAUUAUAGUACAAUUUCUUAAACACAUCUUAAAACAAUGAUGAUUGUGGCUCCUGAUUUGUGGGGGAGUGGAUGGAGGAAAAAGGCAUCAUCCAUAUUUGUUCCAACAGCCCUGAUGACUGUUAACACUCUUGGCAGUGAGAAGGGGGGUCCAGUCCAUCCUCCAUUCUGCUCUUAGCUACAGUGGAAGUCAGGCAGUCCUGGCUGCCUUGGGUUCCAAAGUAACUGUCAACUGAAAGUGUGGAAAACUGUGCUACGUAACAGCCAAGUUACAAGAAGAAAUGUAGUAGAAACAAUAAAAAAAGCCUUAUCACCUGGCAAGCCAUGGCUGGAUACCUCCGUCAAGAGACUCUGCAAAACUUCGAGAUCUUUCUUAUGUUCUAAGAAUUCAGAAGUUGAUUCCUACAAAGCAUUUAGAUAUUUAAUCAACACAAGAUGUUAGUUGAUCUUCAAAUGGCAUUCCAUCAAGAGGACCAGAGGAAUCUUCUCCUGCUGCACACACCAAAUAUUACAUUUUUUACAAGACCCUCCACCAACAAAAAAAUUACAACUUGCUGAAAGUUCAGAUGAUGGUUGGCAUUUUUUUAGCAGUAAAGCAUUUUUUUCAUUAAGGUACGUAUGUUGUUUUUUAGACAUAAUGCUAUUGCAUACUUAAUAGACUACAGUAUAGUGUAAACAUAACUUCUAUAUGAACUGGGAAACAAAAAAUGUGUGUGACUCGCUUUAUUGCGAUGUUUGCUUUAUUGCAGUGGUCUGGAACCAAACAUGAUGUAUGCCUGUAUAAGUAAUCUUGAUCAUCAUUUUAAGGUAUUGGCAUUUCCUACCAAAAUAAUGGCCUUUAUGUCACAGCAUUCCCUCUGCCCCCACCACGUAGACUGUCCUUGGACAAGUAAUCAAGUGGGAAGUGAAAACUUAAGUCAGAUGUGUUCUUGUGCUUGUGGAAAAGAGAGAGAAACAAAACAAAGAAACAAAAAACCCGGAACUGAAAAUGCACAUCCAAAGGAGGGAGGAAACCCCUAGGAGGCUGUAUCAAUGUGGGGAUGCUGACCUGGCCCAGGACACCUGCCUGAUGCCUAAUGCAGGGAUGGGUAAACUGUCCAGCCCCAGAAAGAAGCAGUGCCCAACCACUGCUUCACCUCCCCACGCGUCUCCUCCCUCCUUCAUCUGACACUUUCAUCCCUUGCUUCCAUCCCCCUUCUCUCUGCCUGGGUCUUAACCUGCCACAUUUCACCCCACGGUAUGAUUUAGCUCUCUUCUAGCCAGAAGUCUCGAGUCUCAGGCAAUACCUCAUGUUAAGCUCACUCAGUAGGGUUUUCCUUGUUAACAACACAGCACUGAUUUUUGACUGUAACUAACAGAUGCAAAUGAAUUCUGAAGGGCCGUUGUUUAACUGACAAUGCAGUGUUUACUGUCUAGCUCUGGCAGCAACAAGCUACUGCUGCCCACAUGCCAAAAGGAAUCACAGAAUAGAUUUAUGAAAUGAAACUUUCAAACUCAAAAUUAUUGGUCAUGUGGAAUUAAGAAUAAAAUAUUUCAAAAAUUAUCUUCCCUUACUUUAGGAUUUUAAAAUACACUUAAAUGUAAGAAAUAGACUAGAGAUCCUCUCUGCCACUGUGGGUAUGGCUUGAGACCUGCACAAUUAGGUAAUUCCCACAUUAAGCCUGCAUUUUUAUAAGAGCAG
Non-coding RNA from Equus caballus (horse), 1726 nucleotides. NCBI's taxonomy places the organism in Eukaryota, Metazoa, Chordata, Mammalia, Perissodactyla, Equidae. The record is from RefSeq and is a predicted model, not a curated record.